This 253-nucleotide ribosomal RNA is filed under the name uncultured Brevibacillus sp. RNAcentral's name for it is "partial 16S ribosomal RNA". It matches the Rfam family "Bacterial small subunit ribosomal RNA", at positions 355 to 599 of the family's 1533-position model. Lineage: Bacteria; Bacillati; Bacillota; Bacilli; Caryophanales; Paenibacillaceae. The record is from RNAcentral.
UAGGGAAUUUUCCACAAUGGACGAAAGUCUGAUGGAGCAACGCCGCGUGAACGAUGAAGGUCUUCGGAUUGUAAAGUUCUGUUGUUAGGGACGAAUAAGUACCGUUCGAAUAGGGCGGUACCUUGACGGUACCUGACGAGAAAGCCACGGCUAACUACGUGCCAGCAGCCGCGGUAAUACGUAGGUGGCAAGCGUUGUCCGGAUUUAUUGGGCGUAAAGCGCGCGCAGGCGGCUAUGUAAGUCUGGUGUUAAA